GCCGAGCCGAGCUACUCGAUCUACUCAUGGCCGAACUAAGCUAGCCAAUCUACUCAUGGCCGAACCGAGCUAGCCGAUCUACUUGUGGCCGAACCAAGCUAGUUGAUCUAUUUAUGGCAAGCCACUAAUACGGUUUGGUCCACGAGCUAUCUAUGAACUCGAGUUUCUAGGUCAAGUGAAUAUUUUGGGAAGUUAUAUCAUUAACAAUCAUUUCUCUCAAUUUCUUUUCAUUUCCCACUUUUUUGGAGAGAUAUUUUGGGUUAAAAUUUUUUCUCCUUACUCUUCCUUUUUCUUCAAUUUUCUCUUCUAUUUGAUGUCCAAAUAAGAAAAUUUAAAGAAAUCAAAUUUCUU
RNAcentral lists this unclassified non-coding RNA (351 nucleotides) under Hevea brasiliensis (rubber tree). The record is from RNAcentral. Lineage: Eukaryota; Viridiplantae; Streptophyta; Magnoliopsida; Malpighiales; Euphorbiaceae.